AAUCAACGCUGGCGGCGUGCCUCAGACAUGCAAGUCGAACGCGAAAGUCCCCUUCGGGGACGAAGUAGAGUGGCGCACGGGUGAGUAACACGUAGGUAAUCUACCUUUGGAUGGGGAAUAACAACCGGAAACGGUUGCUAAUACCGCAUAAUGCAGCGGCACCUAAUGGUGACAGUUGUUAAAGCGGGGGAUCGAAAGACCUCGCGUCUGAAGAGGAGCCUGCGGCGGAUUAGCAGUUGGUAAGGUAAUGGCUUACCAAGGCUACGAUCCGUAACCGGCCUGAGAGGGCGGUCGGUCACACUGACACUGACAUACGGGUCAGACUCCUACGGGAGGCAGCAGUCGGGAAUUUGGCAAUGGGCGAAAGCCUGACCCAGCAACGCCGCGUGAAGGAUGAAAUCCC
This 403-nucleotide ribosomal RNA is filed under the name uncultured bacterium. Its description in RNAcentral is "bacterial SSU rRNA". It matches the Rfam family "Bacterial small subunit ribosomal RNA", at positions 32 to 417 of the family's 1533-position model. The record is from RNAcentral.